This is a long non-coding RNA of Etheostoma spectabile (orangethroat darter), 440 nucleotides long. RefSeq lists it as uncharacterized. The transcript is spliced from 3 exons. NCBI's taxonomy places the organism in Eukaryota, Metazoa, Chordata, Actinopteri, Perciformes, Percidae. The record is from RefSeq and is a predicted model, not a curated record.
AUCUAAUCUAAAUAAAAGACAAUGUGCCAAUAUUAUUAACCUUAAUGAACUGGAUUGAUCAGAUUAUUCUAUAAAUAGAAUUAUUAAAAGAAUCAGUAGACCCAGGAUAAUCAGUUAAUGUUUUUAUAUCACUAUCACAUGUUACAAAAGUAAAUGCUGCUAUAGUUGUAAUCAGAAGAUGAGGACACCUCAUAAACGUAUUUGUUUUACUCCAUCUUCCUCUCAAAUUGUUUUUACCCCAAAUACAACACGCACAUUUUAAUUACUACUGUCUACUACUGUUACUGACGUGUAAACAUUUUAAUGGAAUAGGUUUGACAUCAGCGUUCCUUUAAUAGGAGGAAAAAUGUGAAUAUUUAAUAUAUGUGUAAUUUAUUUAUGAUUAAAAUGAAAAUGCUGAUUGUGCCUUCCAUAAUAAAAAGGUAUCUAAAUAUCUUGAA